GACGAACGCUGGCGGCGUGCUUAACACAUGCAAGUCGAACGGUAAGGCCCCAGCUUGCUGGGGUACACGAGUGGCGAACGGGUGAGUAACACGUGGGUGACCUGCCCCGCACUUCGGGAUAAGCCUGGGAAACUGGGUCUAAUACCGGAUAGGACCGCACCGUGAGGGUGUGGUGGAAAGUUUUUCGGUGUGGGAUGGGCCCGCGGCCUAUCAGCUUGUUGGUGGGGUAAUGGCCUACCAAGGCGGCGACGGGUAGCCGGCCUGAGAGGGUGGACGGCCACAUUGGGACUGAGACACGGCCCAGACUCCUACGGGAGGCAGCAGUGGGGAAUAUUGCACAAUGGGCGGAAGCCUGAUGCAGCGACGCCGCGUGGGGGAUGACGGCCUUCGGGUUGUAAACUCCUUUCACCAUCGACGAAGGUUUUCUGACGGUAGAUGGAGAAUAAGCACCGGCUAACUACGUG
Molecule: ribosomal RNA, 464 nt
Filed under: uncultured bacterium
Lineage: Bacteria
Description: partial 16S ribosomal RNA
Rfam family: Bacterial small subunit ribosomal RNA
Source: RNAcentral